RNAcentral lists this ribosomal RNA (465 nucleotides) under uncultured bacterium. RNAcentral describes it as "partial 16S ribosomal RNA". It matches the Rfam family "Bacterial small subunit ribosomal RNA", at positions 28 to 507 of the family's 1533-position model. The record is from RNAcentral.
GACGAACGCUGGCGGCGUGCUUAACACAUGCAAGUCGAACGGAAAGGCCCCUUUGGGGGUACUCGAGUGGCGCACGGGUGAGUAACACGUGAGUAACCUGCCCUUGACUUCGGGAUAACUUCAGGAAACUGGGGCUAAUACCGGAUAGGAAUCCUUGCUGCAUGGUGGGGGUUGGAAAGCUUCGGCGGUUUUGGAUGGACUCGCGGCUUAUCAGCUUGUUGGUGGGGUAGUGGCUUACCAAGGCUUUGACGGGUAGCCGGCCUGAGAGGGCGACCGGCCACAUUGGGGCUGAGAUACGGCCCAGACUCCUACGGGAGGCAGCAGUGGGGAAUAUUGCACAAUGGGCGGAAGCCUGGUGCAGCAACGCCGCGGGCGGGAUGACGGCCUUCGGGUUGUAAACCGCUUUCAGCAGGGGCGGAGCUUGUGGUGACGGUACCUGCAGAAGAAGCACCGGCUAACUACGUG